Molecule: ribosomal RNA, 497 nt
Filed under: uncultured bacterium
Lineage: Bacteria
Description: partial 16S ribosomal RNA
Rfam family: Bacterial small subunit ribosomal RNA
Source: RNAcentral
GAUGAACGCUGGCGGCGUGCCUAAUACAUGCAAGUCGAGCGAACAGAUGAGGAGCUUGCUCCUCUGACGUUAGCGGCGGACGGGUGAGUAACACGUGGAUAACCUACCUAUAAGACUGGGAUAACUUCGGGAAACCGGAGCUAAUACCGGAUAAUAUAUUGAACCGCAUGGUUCAAUAGUUAAAGACGGUUUUGCUGUCACUUAUAGAUUGAUCCGCGCCGCAUUAGCUAGUUGGUAAGGUAACGGCUUACCAAGGCAACGAUGCGUAGCCGACCUGAGAGGGUGAUCGGCCAAACUGGAACGGAGACACGGUCCAGAAUACUACGGGAGGCAGCAGUAGGGAAUAUUCCGCAAUGGGCGAAAGCCUGACGGAGCAAAGCCGCGUGAGUGAUGAAGGUAUUCGGAUCGUAAAACUCUGUUAUUAGGGAAGAACAAAUGUGUAAGUAACUAUGCACGUCUUGACGGUACCUAAUCAGAAAGCCACGGCUAACUACGUG